RNAcentral lists this ribosomal RNA (433 nucleotides) under uncultured bacterium. RNAcentral describes it as "partial 16S ribosomal RNA". It matches the Rfam family "Bacterial small subunit ribosomal RNA", at positions 29 to 507 of the family's 1533-position model. The record is from RNAcentral.
AGCGAACGCUGGCGGCAGGCUUAACACAUGCAAGUCGAGCGGGCACUUCGGUGUCAGCGGCAGACGGGUGAGUAACACGUGGGAACGUACCCUUUGGUUCGGAUUAACGCUGGGAAACUAGCGCUAAUACCGGAUACGCCCUUUUGGGGAAAGGCUUGCUGCCGAAGGAUCGGCCCGCGUCUGAUUAGCUAGUUGGUGGGGUAAUGGCCUACCAAGGCGACGAUCAGUAGCUGGUCUGAGAGGAUGAUCAGCCACACUGGGACUGAGACACGGCCCAGACUCCUACGGGAGGCAGCAGUGGGGAAUAUUGGACAAUGGGCGCAAGCCUGAUCCAGCCAUGCCGCGUGAGUGAUGAAGGCCUUAGGGUUGUAAAGCUCUUUUGUCCGGGACGAUAAUGACGGUACCGGAAGAAUAAGCCCCGGCUAACUUCGUG